GGGGUUGUGGCUUGGCGGUACAGCACUUGCCUAGCAUGUACGAGGCCCUGGGUUCAAGUCUCAGCACCACA
Molecule: transfer RNA, 71 nt
Filed under: Marmota monax (woodchuck)
Lineage: Eukaryota; Metazoa; Chordata; Mammalia; Rodentia; Sciuridae
Description: tRNA.Ala
Source: RNAcentral